AGACAGCCAGGAUGUUGGCUUAGAAGCAGCCAUCAUUUAAAGAAAGCGUAAUAGCUCACUGGUCGAGUCGGCCUGCGCGGAAGAUGUAACGGGGCUAAACCAUGCACCGAAGCUGCGGCAGCGACACUGUGUGUUGUUGGGUAGGGGAGCGUUCUGUAAGCCUGUGAAGGUGUGCUGUGAGGUAUGCUGGAGGUAUCAGAAGUGCGAAUGCUGACAUAAGUAACGAUAAAGCGGGUGAAAAGCCCGCUCGCCGGAAGACCAAGGGUUCCUGUCCAACGUUAAUCGGGGCAGGGUGAGUCGACCCCUAAGGCGAGGCCGAAAGGCGUAGUCGAUGGGAAACAGGUUAAUAUUCCUGUACUUGGUGUUACUGCGAAGGGGGGACGGAGAAGGCUAUGUUGGCCGGGCGACGGUUGUCCCGGUUUAAGCGUGUAGGCUGGUUUUCCAGGCAAAUCCGGAAAAUCAAGGCUGAGGCGUGAUGACGAGGCACUACGGUGCUGAAGCAACAAAUGCCCUGCUUCCAGGAAAAGCCUCUAAGCAUCAGGUAACAUCAAAUCGUACCCCAAACCGACACAGGUGGUCAGGUAGAGAAUACCAAGGCGCUUGAGAGAACUCGGGUGAAGGAACUAGGCAAAAUGGUGCCGUAACUUCGGGAGAAGGCACGCUGAUAUGUAGGUGAAGUCCCUCGCGGAUGGAGCUGAAAUCAGUCGAAGAUACCAGCUGGCUGCAACUGUUUAUUAAAAACACAGCACUGUGCAAACACGAAAGUGGACGUAUACGGUGUGACGCCUGCCCGGUGCCGGAAGGUUAAUUGAUGGGGUCAGCGCAAGCGAAGCUCUUGAUCGAAGCCCCGGUAAACGGCGGCCGUAACUAUAACGGUCCUAAGGUAGCGAAAUUCCUUGUCGGGUAAGUUCCGACCUGCACGAAUGGCGUAAUGAUGGCCAGGCUGUCUCCACCCGAGACUCAGUGAAAUUGAACUCGCUGUGAAGAUGCAGUGUACCCGCGGCAAGACGGAAAGACCCCGUGAACCUUUACUAUAGCUUGACACUGAACAUUGAGCCUUGAUGUGUAGGAUAGGUGGGAGGCUUUGAAGUGUGGACGCCAGUCUGCAUGGAGCCGACCUUGAAAUACCACCCUUUAAUGUUUGAUGUUCUAACGUGGACCCGUGAUCCGGGUUGCGGACAGUGUCUGGUGGGUAGUUUGACUGGGGCGGUCUCCUCCUAAAGAGUAACGGAGGAGCACGAAGGUUGGCUAAUCCUGGUCGGACAUCAGGAGGUUAGUGCAAUGGCAUAAGCCAGCUUGACUGCGAGCGUGACGGCGCGAGCAGGUGCGAAAGCAGGUCAUAGUGAUCCGGUGGUUCUGAAUGGAAGGGCCAUCGCUCAACGGAUAAAAGGUACUCCGGGGAUAACAGGCUGAUACCGCCCAAGAGUUCAUAUCGACGGCGGUGUUUGGCACCUCGAUGUCGGCUCAUCACAUCCUGGGGCUGAAGUAGGUCCCAAGGGUAUGGCUGUUCGCCAUUUAAAGUGGUACGCGAGCUGGGUUUAGAACGUCGUGAGACAGUUCGGUCCCUAUCUGCCGUGGGCGCUGGAGAACUGAGGGGGGCUGCUCCUAGUACGAGAGGACCGGAGUGGACGCAUCACUGGUGUUCGGGUUGUCAUGCCAAUGGCACUGCCCGGUAGCUAAAUGCGGAAGAGAUAAGUGCUGAAAGCAUCUAAGCACGAAACUUGCCCCGAGAUGAGUUCUCCCUGACCCUUUAAGGGUCCUGAAGGAACGUUGAAGACGACGACGUUGAUAGGCCGGGUGUGUAAGCGCAGCGAUGCGUUGAGCUAACCGGUACUAAUGAACCGUGAGGCUUAACCUU
This 1858-nucleotide ribosomal RNA is filed under the name Escherichia coli O157:H7 str. EC4024. RNAcentral describes it as "bacterial LSU rRNA". It matches the Rfam family "Bacterial large subunit ribosomal RNA", at positions 1087 to 2925 of the family's 2925-position model. The record is from RNAcentral. Lineage: Bacteria; Pseudomonadati; Pseudomonadota; Gammaproteobacteria; Enterobacterales; Enterobacteriaceae.